Cyprinus carpio carpio is the source of this 4634-nucleotide long non-coding RNA. NCBI's taxonomy places the organism in Eukaryota, Metazoa, Chordata, Actinopteri, Cypriniformes, Cyprinidae. The record is from Ensembl.
GAAAGAAAGAGAAAGGGAGAGAGAGAAUGAGAGAAGAGAAGGGAUGGGAGGGCAGAGAGAGUGAAAUUAGACUGAAGGGGAGGGAGGCGAAUCUGUGAGGUGAGGAUUCUGCCUUACAACACUGAGCAUGUCUUUGUGAGGAUACGAUUAUACUGUUCUAAGGUCUAUUUUCUGUUGUUUAAAGCAGAACAGUGAACUGCGUGUCUGUCUUCAAUGAGUAUACACUGAAAUAACAACAGGUUUUGCAAGUCUAGGGUGUUGAUGUCAUCUUAACCCUCUGUGUGUGUCAGAAGCAGAACAGGGACAGUGUAUCUAGCCAGUCACCACAAUGUCACCCAAACACACCACAGCUGCACUCCACUUCCCACAGUGCUCAUUCAGAUUAGCCAAAUUAAUCAUACAGUGUGUAUACAUUAUUAAAGAAUUUAUGUAAAUUUGCUUGUUAAAAUGUACUUGGUGUUUUUAAUUUUUUCUCAAAUAUGAAAUGCUAUAUAUAUAUAUAUAUAUAUAUAUAUAUAUAUAUAUAUAUAUAUAUAUAUAUAUAUAUAUAUAUAUAUAUAUAUAUGUAUGUAUGUAUAAUGAUGAAUUGUUCACAGUAAGAUCUAUAACAUGCAUUUAUAAAAUAGGACAGUUUUCAAUUAAUGCUGACUUUAAAAAUGACUUAACAUGUACGAAAUCUGUAACUUGUAUGUGUAUAGUGCUGUCCCACAGUUCUAUGAAUUAUUUAAAAAUAUUUAAAAUAUCAAAUGGAAAUUUACAACUCUAAAGUUAUAACACUAACUAUAAUCUAUUUUGCAAAUUUCUAGAUGAAUUUUUCAUAGUGCCUCACAAAAAACUGAUUUCCUGUGAUGUAUUGUAUUAGAUUGAGAUGACAAUCCUUCUUGCUCUUCCCUUUUUAAAAGAUUUUUUUUAAUCUGUUCACAACAUUUCAGAGUUUGUGCACAACAUGUCCAAACUGAUCUGAGAUGAAUCAUUAGAUUUAGUUGGCUUGGUUUAUGGAACAUAAUUGUCUUGACUCAUCUGCCAGUUAAUUGUUCAUAACAGAGAUGUAAAGUACACAAUAAAGACUAUUUUAAACAACAUGAAUGAUUCGGUGUAAUUUAAAGGUGAGGUCAGGCAACCUAAAUGAGUCAAGCUAAUCAUUUUCCAUUACUGAUUUGAAUAAACUCAAACAACAUUGUUGUAACCGUUCUAAAGAACACUAUGUGCAGGCACAAAGUUUACCUUGCUCUGUUUUGAAAGAUGAAAAAUCACAUUUUGAGACCGGGGUCCCAGUAAUGUUAACCCACCCUCGAGGGACACAGCCUGUCACAUUCAUUCCUUCAUCUGUCAGGCUCCUGGUACCAGUUUGUUGCCAUGGUAAUACCGUCUGGUGAUGCAGUCGGAAAAGCUGUAGAGUCCUAAUUGGCCUCAGUCCUAGGUAAGAUUUUGAAUAGCUGCUUCCGUGCCACUAUCUUGUUUAGAAUAACUAUUGAAUACUGAUUAAGGUUUCUGUUUUAAGGACAUAUAACACAAAAUACUGAACUGAGAUGCAGGAUGAAUAAGGAGGCAAUUUUCUUUACUCUAGCUCAAUAUUUGCAUCUCAUUUUAAAACACUCUUGCCCUCUCUAUUUAUCGAUCUAUAUCUCUGUUUCGCCCUCGUAGUCUCUCUCCUGCCAGCAAAUACACAUGCAUCCAACAGGUCUGAUGGUUUGAGUCACCAUCUGCUGUCUUCUAAGAGUUGACAUUUGCACUAAUCGCAUGUUUGAGGUCAGACUCACUUCGCUAGUGGCCUUUUUCCAGUUGAUGUUACAUUUCAAGUGUCCUGCGGGGUGACAAUUAAUAUGGUUACUCUAAAACUCUUUUUGUCUUAUAAUGAUUAUAAUUAUUAUUAUCAUUAUUAUUUACAGUAUAUACAUGUAUAAUAUUAAUUAAUUUAUAAAAUAAUAUAAAUAAUAAAAAUAGGUCCUUUAAAUGCAAGCUGCUACAAUUUGCUAACAAUCACAUCAUUUACUACACAAGUUGAUUGGCCUCUGCUGAUUCUACAGCCAAUGAGAGUAACAACAUUUAAAUAGUUUGGUUAAGUGUUUGCUGUAAGCUGGUCCUGCAGCAUGCUAUUUAGAGUUCUUCUGAAACCCUCCACCUUCCCCAGCUCCACCUGUCUGGAGCUGCUAUUGGAUUUAUGUAUGCCUAUUCAUGUGGAAACAGCAUAUCUUAUGGUCACGUCUGUGUAUCUAUUGGUGGUAGCCAAUCCAUACUUGCAACAGCAUUCAUAGCAGAUAUAGUCUGCCAAGGCCUAAUACACUGACAUUGUAAGAUCUAUUAAUAUGCUAAAACUAUUUGAGAAUUGUCAUUAUUGGUUUAAAUUAACCCUAACUUAAAUUAUCAUAAAAAGACAAAUGCCUGUGUUAUGUGCCAACUACCCACAAAAAAGUAUUUUUUUAUUUUUUUUUUCAUGUGCAUACUUUAAAAGACUGUGCUGUUUUAUAAACUGCUUGUGUUUGACUUUGAUUAAUCAUAUUGUAUUGUACCUCCACUGGUUUGAUUCAAAGCUCUGUCUAAGGUUUGGUCAAUAUAUGACCUACCAUGUGUUUGCAAUUGAAGAGCUUUGGAAGGUGUUGAUGAGUCAUAUCAGUGAAAGGAAAGACUAAGCACACAGUAAACAGAGGCUGUCUAGGUUUAGUCUGCCAAAGCCUGAGAUUAUUAAAGGCAUUUAUGCAGUCAAGGUUCUGAGCAGUCAAUAACAAUGGAGGUUCAAAUCAUCUCUUAUAAACAGAACGAGGCCAGAGAAUAUUUAUUUGAAGCCGAGUUGGCAUUCAUAAAUGCAUUUAGCAGACAUCAAUAUUUCUAGACAAGCAGUUUCAGUUAUGAUGUGUGCAGAAAGAAAAAUACCUAAGCCAGUCACAAGCUUAUUUCUGCUUCAAAAGCUUGACAGAGCAUUCACUUCACUGUUCUGCUCCAGAUUCUGGGUUGUAUAGCACAAAUAGAGCAAUGGUUUCUUAAAAUCUUUACUACAAUAAUAUAGUGAGCAAUAGAGAAUAAUCUAUAAUAAAGCCAAGAAGCAUUUGGAUGGCAAAGAUAAAAAAAAAAAUAAUGUAGGCACCAGUCAUUUUGUUUUUCAUAAAUAUAGCCAUUCAAAAUAAUUUACCUGGCGAACAAAAAAGAGGUGAAAAACUGGGUCAGAAAUGAACUUUUCCAUUUAAGGGAACAUUUGCCUGUGGGAAGUGAUUUCCUGGGUAAUUUUUUACCUUUGUAAGGGCAAUUUUAUUUACAUAAUAGCGAUGUAAUAUUACUGGUAAAAUCGUUAUUGUCGAUUACUGUCCUUGAUAUUGGAAUAAUGAUCAGUAAUAUACAUUACUAUACAAAUGUUUUUGGGUGUGGAAAAAUGACAUAGGCCUAUUCUUUUAGGCUACACAGGCAAAACAAACUGAGAACUGUUUAUGAAUAAGUUUACUGCUUUUUGAUGCAUUACAAAAUCAAGACUUCAUGUUGGAAAACUAAACAAUUAUUUAAACUUCGGAAUAAAUUACUGUAUAUACAGAAAAAGAGCAAAGAAUGUUCCACAUUAUUGAAGUGGUCAAUGAGUUCAUGGCAAGCUCACUGAGUUCAGCACUCUCACAAGAAUUUGGGGGGAAUUUUUACUUAUUUUGGUGGCUGUUUUCCUCCAAGCCCUUGUUAUUUUCUGACACUGGUGAAAAAUCCUUUAGGGAGCAAUAUAUCAUAAAUGACUUGUGGUAACCACCUAAAUGUCCUAAUAACUACUCACAACACCUUUGGCAACUGCAUAGCUAUGUGCCAGCACAACAUAGAUCAACAUGACAACAGUCUUUAGAAAAUGUCAAAUGUUUUGUUUUGGUAUAUUAAAAUUCAGGCUUCUGUUGACGUGCUUUCGAGGGUGCCUUUCCUGCUUCACUUUACCUCACAAAUGUCUCAUUCUCAGCUACGCCUACAGAACCUUGUCAUGGGAUUCCUGCCAGAAGCAAUUUGGAAUCGGUUUGUUCUGUGACAAAUAUUCCACAGAGACAUGGUACAAAAAGUUGUGAAAGUGAGCCGGGCUUCUCAUAACCUCUGUGGACCAAUUACUGUUAUCAUUCUAUCAAACAAAAGAGUGACAUUCAGAGAUGAAGACUGUUCUUUGUGAAGUAUUAUCACGGCUAAUGUUGUUAUUCUCUGUCUCUUUCAUAUUUUCAGAUAACCAAUAGCGUUGACUACGUUUUCUAGAGACACCGCUGAUUUCCCUCCGAAAGUCGAGACAUGGAAAGAAGAGAGAAUAAAGUGUCCAACGUCUCCCCACAAAAACAGACAGUGAAAAAUAGAUCCAAGUCCACAGAGGAGGUACAGCAAGCCAAAAAGGCCUUUCAUACACCACAAAAAUCUCUUCCGGCUAAACCAGAAACCGAACAACUUGAGGAGACCUCAGAACUGAGUGCCUCAUCAGAGGAGUUAAAAUGAUUGUUGGAUUCAAACUUCGGGGCUUUGAGAUUUAGACAGAUCAACCGGAAUUAUGGGUAAUAACAAGAGGAUGAUUCAGUGUCUUUACUGAAUUCAGUGUUUUACUUUGUUUAGUUCAUAUAGAAGAAAACCAACAAUAAUCAUGUGUAGCUUCUUGAAUUUGUAUGAGUCUGUUUUGUUUGUGAAAUAAAUGGAUAUCUCAG